GAACGUGUAUUUUCACAUAGCCAUUAUAUGCUCGUUCUGGGUAAAUAGAAAUUUUCGGAUUUUGUUCCCCGGAUAGUAGUUAUGUAACCAAUUGUGGAACUUUCUUGCUAAUAAUUUUUAAAUGCACUUGUGUAUUUAUUAAUUUAUAACGGCCAUCAAUUAACAAUCAAUUCAGAACUGGCACGGACUUGGGGAAUCCGACUGUCUAAUUAAAACAAAGCAUUGUGAUGGUCCUAACGGAUAUUGACAGAAUUUGAUUUCUGUCCAGUGCUCUGAAUGUUAAAGUGGAGAAAUUCAAGUAAGCACGGGUAAACGGAUGGAGUAACUAUGACACAGCCAAGGGAACGUACUUGGAAUUAUGAGCGGGGAAAGUAUAUGGUAUUUGCACAA
RNAcentral lists this non-coding RNA (390 nucleotides) under Megaselia scalaris. RNAcentral describes it as "Eukaryotic large subunit ribosomal RNA". It matches the Rfam family "Eukaryotic large subunit ribosomal RNA", at positions 1994 to 2316 of the family's 3401-position model. Lineage: Eukaryota; Metazoa; Arthropoda; Insecta; Diptera; Phoridae. The record is from Rfam by way of RNAcentral.